RNAcentral lists this ribosomal RNA (301 nucleotides) under uncultured bacterium. Its description in RNAcentral is "partial 16S ribosomal RNA". It matches the Rfam family "Bacterial small subunit ribosomal RNA", at positions 509 to 809 of the family's 1533-position model. The record is from RNAcentral.
CAGUCGCCGCGGGAAUACGGAGGGUGCGAGCGUUGUCCGGAUUUAUUGGGUUUAAAGGGUGCGUAGGUGGCCUUAUAAGUCAGUGGUGAAAUACGGUUGCUCAACAAUCGAGGUGCCAUUGAUACUGUAGAGCUUGAAAUAAUUGGAGGCUGCCGGAAUGGAUGGUGUAGCGGUGAAAUGCAUAGAUAUCAUCCAGAACACCGAUUGCGAAGGCAGGUGGCUACGAUUUGUUUGACACUGAGGCACGAAAGCAUGGGGAGCAAACAGGAUUAGAUACCCCCGUAGUCCCUGUCUCUUAUAA